CUGCGAAUGGCUCAUUAUAUAAGUUAUCGUUUAUUUGAUAGUACCUUACUACUUGGAUAACCGUGGUAAUUCUAGAGCUAAUACAUGCUAAAAAUCCCGACUUCGGAAGGGAUGUAUUUAUUAGAUUAAAAACCAAUGCCCUCUGGGCUCCUUGGUGAUUCAUGAUAACUCUUCGAAUCGCACGGCCUUGCGCCGGCGAUGGUUCAUUCAAAUUUCUUCCCUAUCAACUUUCGAUGUUUGGGUAUUGGCCAAACAUGGUUGCAACGGGUAACGGAGGGUUAGGGCUCGACCCCGGAGAAGGAGCCUGAGAAACGGCUACUACAUCCAAGGAAGGCAGCAGGCGCGCAAAUUACCCAAUCCCGAUUCGGGGAGGUAGUGACAAUAAAUACUGAUACAGGGCUCUUUUGGGUCUUGUAAUUGGAAUGAGUACAAUUUAAAUCUCUUAACGAGGAACAAUUGGAGGGCAAGUCUGGUGCCAGCAGCCGCGGUAAUUCCAGCUCCAAUAGCGUAUAUUAAAGUUGUUGUGGUUAAAAAGCUCGUAGUUGAACCUUGGGCCUGGCUGGCCGGUCCGCCUCACCGCGUGCACUGGUCCGGCCGGGCCUUUCCCUCUGUGGAACCCCAUGCCCUUCACUGGGCGUGGCGGGGAAACAGGACGUUUACUUUGAAAAAAUUAGAGUGCUCCAGGCAGGCCUAUGCUCGAAUACAUUAGCAUGGAAUAAUGAAAUAGGACGCGUGGUUCUAUUUUGUUGGUUUCUAGGACCGCCGUAAUGAUUAAUAGGGACAGUCGGGGGCAUCAGUAUUCAAUUGUCAGAGGUGAAAUUCUUGGAUUUAUUGAAGACUAACUACUGCGAAAGCAUUUGCCAAGGAUGUUUUCAUUAAUCAGGAACGAAAGUUAGGGGAUCGAAGACGAUCAGAUACCGUCGUAGUCUUAACCAUAAACUAUGCCGACUAGGGAUCGGACGAUGUUAUUUUUUGACGCGUUCGGCACCUUACGAGAAAUCAAAGUGCUUGGGCUC
RNAcentral lists this ribosomal RNA (1016 nucleotides) under Cordyceps cicadae. Its description in RNAcentral is "SSU rRNA". It matches the Rfam family "Eukaryotic small subunit ribosomal RNA", at positions 87 to 1114 of the family's 1831-position model. The record is from RNAcentral. Lineage: Eukaryota; Fungi; Ascomycota; Sordariomycetes; Hypocreales; Cordycipitaceae.